Thermochaetoides thermophila DSM 1495 is the source of this 77-nucleotide non-coding RNA. NCBI's taxonomy places the organism in Eukaryota, Fungi, Ascomycota, Sordariomycetes, Sordariales, Chaetomiaceae. The record is from the annotation of a RefSeq genome assembly.
GGGCGUGUAGCUCAUUUGGUAGAGCGCUCGCUUAGCAUCAAUGCGAGAGGUACUGGGUUCGAUUCCCAGCUCGUCCA